This 484-nucleotide ribosomal RNA is filed under the name uncultured bacterium. Its description in RNAcentral is "partial 16S ribosomal RNA". It matches the Rfam family "Bacterial small subunit ribosomal RNA", at positions 30 to 507 of the family's 1533-position model. The record is from RNAcentral.
AUUGAACGCUGGCGGAAUGCUUUACACAUGCAAGUCGAACGGCAGCACGGGGGCAACCCUGGUGGCGAGUGGCGAACGGGUGAGUAAUACAUCGGAACGUGCCCGGUCGUGGGGGAUAACGUAGCGAAAGUUACGCUAAUACCGCAUACGAUCUGAGGAUGAAAGCGGGGGACCUUCGGGCCUCGCGCGAUCGGAGCGGCCGAUGUCAGAUUAGGUAGUUGGUGGGGUAAAGGCCUACCAAGCCGACGAUCUGUAGCUGGUCUGAGAGGACGACCAGCCACACUGGGACUGAGACACGGCCCAGACUCCUACGGGAGGCAGCAGUGGGGAAUUUUGGACAAUGGGCGCAAGCCUGAUCCAGCCAUUCCGCGUGCAGGACGAAGGCCUUCGGGUUGUAAACUGCUUUUGUAUGGACCGAAAAGGCUCUGGCUAAUACCUGGGGCUCAUGACGGUACCGGAAGAAUAAGCACCGGCUAACUACGUG